This 599-nucleotide ribosomal RNA is filed under the name Lacticaseibacillus rhamnosus. RNAcentral describes it as "bacterial SSU rRNA". It matches the Rfam family "Bacterial small subunit ribosomal RNA", at positions 91 to 676 of the family's 1533-position model. The record is from RNAcentral. Lineage: Bacteria; Bacillati; Bacillota; Bacilli; Lactobacillales; Lactobacillaceae.
ACGAGUGGCGGACGGGUGAGUAACACGUGGGUAACCUGCCCUUAAGUGGGGGAUAACAUUUGGAAACAGAUGCUAAUACCGCAUAAAUCCAAGAACCGCAUGGUUCUUGGCUGAAAGAUGGCGUAAGCUAUCGCUUUUGGAUGGACCCGCGGCGUAUUAGCUAGUUGGUGAGGUAACGGCUCACCAAGGCAAUGAUACGUAGCCGAACUGAGAGGUUGAUCGGCCACAUUGGGACUGAGACACGGCCCAAACUCCUACUGGAGGCAGCAGUAGGGAAUCUUCCACAAUGGACGCAAGUCUGAUGGAGCAACGCCGCGUGAGUGAAGAAGGCUUUCGGGUCGUAAAACUCUGUUGUUGGAGAAGAAUGGUCGGCAGAGUAACUGUUGUCGGCGUGACGGUAUCCAACCAGAAAGCCACGGCUAACUACGUGCCAGCAGCCGCGGUAAUACGUAGGUGGCAAGCGUUAUCCGGAUUUAUUGGGCGUAAAGCGAGCGCAGGCGGUUUUUUAAGUCUGAUGUGAAAGCCCUCGGCUUAACCGAGGAAGUGCAUCGGAAACUGGAAAACUUGAGUGCAGAAGAGGACAGUGGAACUCCAUGUGU